RNAcentral lists this ribosomal RNA (253 nucleotides) under uncultured bacterium. Its description in RNAcentral is "partial 16S ribosomal RNA". It matches the Rfam family "Bacterial small subunit ribosomal RNA", at positions 524 to 776 of the family's 1533-position model. The record is from RNAcentral.
UACAGAGGGGGCAAGCGUUGUUCGGAAUUACUGGGCGUAAAGGGCGCGUAGGCGGCCUGCUAAGUCGAACGUGAAAUCCCUGGGCUCAACCCAGGAACUGCGUCCGAUACUGGUUGGCUUGAAUCCGGGAGAGGGAUGUGGAAUUCCAGGUGUAGCGGUGAAAUGCGCAGAUAUCAGGAGGAACACCGGUGGCGAAGGCGGUUCUCUGGGCAUGAUCUGACGCUGAGGAGCGAAAGUGUGGGGAGCGAACAGG